RNAcentral lists this ribosomal RNA (253 nucleotides) under uncultured bacterium. RNAcentral describes it as "partial 16S ribosomal RNA". It matches the Rfam family "Bacterial small subunit ribosomal RNA", at positions 524 to 776 of the family's 1533-position model. The record is from RNAcentral.
UACGGAGGGUGCAAGCGUUAUCCGGAUUCACUGGGUUUAAAGGGUGCGUAGGUGGAUUAGUAAGUCAGUGGUGGAAUCUCCGGGCUUAACCCGGAAACUGCCGUUGAUACUAUCUGUCUUGAAUAUAGUGGAGGUGAGCGGAAUAUGUCAUGUAGCGGUGAAAUGCUUAGAUAUGACAUAGAACACCAAUUGCGUAGGCAGCUUACUACACGAUCAUUGACGCUGAGGCACGAAAGCGUGGGGAGCAAACCGG